CGGGGAUGAUGGGGGGAGGUGUACACGGCAAGGACAUAAUAAUGUAGUGCGAAGCAAGAAGUGGAGGAGACAUGUACGUGAAAUGAUGUAAUAUGCGGGGAGAGGCACGAAGAAUAUGUUUGGAAAAGGUAAAUCAGUGUCCUCAGCAAGCUAUGUCUCGGCACGCAGGUGAAUGGCACUGGAGGGCUUCGUUGUGGCGGCGCGGAGACGGCGGCUUGGAUAAAGGUUAAGCUAAGAGUGUAUUAUGUAGUAAGGCCUCUCGGUACUGCCUUGCAUUCCUGGCUGGCUUCAGAGAUGAUCCUUCAGCUAAAACGUUAUGUGCUGAUGUGCCGGGCAGGUAGCAGCGGCGACGGGGACAGCUGACGGCGGGGCGGCAGUGGCGGGGAAGUUACACCUGAGGGUUUACAGCUUCAGCAACCUCGGAGGACAGAUGGCUGGAGGCGGCUUCUGGGUGACCCUCCGCUUGUACCGCUCUCUACCGCACCUUCUUCAGGUUUGACGAGGAACACCACCCUGCAGAAUCUGACCUUGACUUGGAAGGCAGAAGUGUUCCUCUAACGUGCAAGAAGACUGUGGGAGCGUGUGAAAGAGGGAUAGAGCCGAACAGCGAUAGGAAGAGGACAUACCAACUUAAUCUAAACAAGAAUGACGGACUAGAAGAGCAGGAUGAAGGUUGCCUGAAGAUUCCACCUCCUACGCACCCACAGCAAAAUGGAAAUCACCAGUAAUGGCGCCAUGAAUAUCAGCAUUGGGAGGCACGGUGUUCUUAUCUUCGUCCCCAAGUGAACGCGGCAGCUGUGUGUUUAGGGGACGGAUUAUCGUGGCGGCUUGAGGAGAGGCAGUGAGCAAGAGCAACAACGGAUGCAAAGGUUAUGUGUUCUGGCGUCCUUCACCUCCACCAUCCUCCCCCACCACGUCCACAUACAGUUUUAUCUCCGCUGCUCACCUGGACGAGAGAGGGAUCAUCUCCCGGCAACGUUUCCCUCAGGUACUGUUUCCGUGCGUCAGUCUGUGUACAUCGAUCCAGGUGCAAGGUUUGAUUGGUAAUUACCUUCUUCAUUUGAUUCAGG
Long non-coding RNA from Eriocheir sinensis (Chinese mitten crab), 1070 nucleotides. RefSeq lists it as uncharacterized. The record is from RefSeq and is a predicted model, not a curated record. Lineage: Eukaryota; Metazoa; Arthropoda; Malacostraca; Decapoda; Varunidae. The transcript is spliced from 9 exons.